AGGCCCGUCCUCCACGCGCCACUGAAGACAGCCGAGUCAGAAUCUGAUCCGUCCGAGGCGACCUCGACAGAGGGUCACAAGGACGGUGGCGCAGACCCGAUGGAGUCAGCACAGUUCUUCGUAGACGUCAUUGACCGGGUUCUGAGUGAAGACGACGGGAACAAGGACGGCUUGCUCAGCUACGCCGAGUUCGUGCUGGCGAACGAGCGGGCUUCGGACCGGAUGCGGGAACGAGAACUG
Pollicipes pollicipes is the source of this 240-nucleotide long non-coding RNA. RefSeq lists it as uncharacterized. The record is from RefSeq and is a predicted model, not a curated record. The transcript has 3 exons. Lineage: Eukaryota; Metazoa; Arthropoda; Thecostraca; Pollicipedomorpha; Pollicipedidae.